AUACAGAGGGUGCGAGCGUUAAUCGGAAUUACUGGGCGUAAAGCGCGCGUAGGCAGCUUAUUAAGUCAGAUGUGAAAUCCCCGGGCUCAACCUGGGAACUGCAUCUGAUACUGGUAAGCUAGAGUUUUGGAGAGGGAAGUAGAAUUUCAGGUGUAGCGGUGAAAUGCAUAGAGAUCUGAAGGAAUACCAGUGGCGAAGGAGACUUCCUGGCCAAAAACUGACGCAGAGGUGCGAAAGCGUGGGUAGCAAACGGAAUUAGAAACCCCGGUAGUCC
Molecule: ribosomal RNA, 274 nt
Filed under: uncultured bacterium
Lineage: Bacteria
Description: partial 16S ribosomal RNA
Rfam family: Bacterial small subunit ribosomal RNA
Source: RNAcentral